RNAcentral lists this ribosomal RNA (1411 nucleotides) under Corynebacterium diphtheriae. Its description in RNAcentral is "16S ribosomal RNA". It matches the Rfam family "Bacterial small subunit ribosomal RNA". Lineage: Bacteria; Bacillati; Actinomycetota; Actinomycetes; Mycobacteriales; Corynebacteriaceae. The record is from RNAcentral.
UUUUUUAUGGAGAGUUUGAUCCUGGCUCAGGACGAACGCUGGCGGCGUGCUUAACACAUGCAAGUCGAACGGAAAGGCCUAGCUUGCUAGGUACUCGAGUGGCGAACGGGUGAGUAACACGUGGGUGAUCUGCCUCGUACUUCGGGAUAAGCCUGGGAAACUGGGUCUAAUACUGGAUAGGACCAUGCUUUAGUGUGUGUGGUGGAAAGUUUUUUCGGUACGAGAUGAGCCCGCGGCCUAUCAGCUUGUUGGUGGGGUAAUGGCCUACCAAGGCGUCGACGGGUAGCCGGCCUGAGAGGGUGGACGGCCACAUUGGGACUGAGAUACGGCCCAGACUCCUACGGGAGGCAGCAGUGGGGAAUAUUGCACAAUGGGCGCAAGCCUGAUGCAGCGACGCCGCGUGGGGGAUGACGGCCUUCGGGUUGUAAACCUCUUUCGCUAGGGACGAAGCUUUUUGUGACGGUACCUAGAUAAGAAGCACCGGCUAACUACGUGCCAGCAGCCGCGGUAAUACGUAGGGUGCGAGCGUUGUCCGGAAUUACUGGGCGUAAAGAGCUCGUAGGUGGUUUGUCGCGUCGUCUGUGAAAUUCCGGGGCUUAACUUCGGGCGUGCAGGCGAUACGGGCAUAACUUGAGUGCUGUAGGGGAGACUGGAAUUCCUGGUGUAGCGGUGGAAUGCGCAGAUAUCAGGAGGAACACCGAUGGCGAAGGCAGGUCUCUGGGCAGUAACUGACGCUGAGGAGCGAAAGCAUGGGGAGCGAACAGGAUUAGAUACCCUGGUAGUCCAUGCCGUAAACGGUGGGCGCUAGGUGUGAGGGUCUUCCACGACUUUCGUGCCGUAGCUAACGCAUUAAGCGCCCCGCCUGGGGAGUACGGCCGCAAGGCUAAAACUCAAAGGAAUUGACGGGGGCCCGCACAAGCGGCGGAGCAUGUGGAUUAAUUCGAUGCAACGCGAAGAACCUUACCUGGGCUUGACAUAUGCAGGAUCGGCGUAGAGAUACGUUUUCCCUUGUGGUCUGUACGGGGUUAACUCGGAGGAAGGUGGGGAUGACGUCAAAUCAUCAUGCCCCUUAUGUCCAGGGCUUCACACAUGCUACAAUGGUCGGUACAACGCGCUGCGAGCCUGUGAGGGUGAGCGAAUCGCUGAAAGCCGGCCUCAGUUCGGAUUGGGGUCUGCAACUCGACCCCAUGAAGUCGGAGUCGCUAGUAAUCGCAGAUCAGCAACGCUGCGGUGAAUACGUUCCCGGGCCUUGUACACACCGCCCGUCACGUCAUGAAAGUUGGUAACACCCGAAGCCAGUGGCCUAACCCUUGUGGGGGGAGCUGUCGAAGGUGGGAUCGGCGAUUGGGACGAAGUCGUAACAAGGUAGCCGUACCGGAAGGUGCGGCUGGAUCACCUCCUUUCUAAGGAG